Molecule: ribosomal RNA, 649 nt
Filed under: uncultured Lachnospiraceae bacterium
Lineage: Bacteria; Bacillati; Bacillota; Clostridia; Lachnospirales; Lachnospiraceae
Description: bacterial SSU rRNA
Rfam family: Bacterial small subunit ribosomal RNA
Source: RNAcentral
UCGAACGGAGCUUAGAGAGCUUGCUUUUUAAGCUUAGUGGCGAACGGGUGAGUAACGCGUGAGUAACCUGCGCUAGAGUGGGGGACAACAGUUGGAAACGACUGCUAAUACCGCAUAAGCCCACGGUACCGCAUGGUACUGAGGGAAAAGGAUUUAUUCGCUUUAGGAUGGACUCGCGUCCAAUUAGCUAGUUGGUGAGGUAACGGCCCACCAAGGCGACGAUUGGUAGCCGGACUGAGAGGUUGAACGGCCACAUUGGGACUGAGACACGGCCCAGACUCCUACGGGAGGCAGCAGUGGGGGAUAUUGCACAAUGGGGGAAACCCUGAUGCAGCGACGCCGCGUGGAGGAAGAAGGUUUUCGGAUUGUAAACUCCUGUCGUUAGGGACGAUAAUGACGGUACCUAACAAGAAAGCACCGGCUAACUACGUGCCAGCAGCCGCGGUAAAACGUAGGGUGCAAGCGUUGUCCGGAAUUACUGGGUGUAAAGGGAGCGCAGGCGGGAAGACAAGUUGGAAGUGAAAACCAUGGGCUCAACCCAUGAAUUGCUUUCAAAACUGUUUUUCUUGAGUAGUGCAGAGGUAGAUGGAAUUCCCGGUGUAGCGGUGGAAUGCGUAGAUAUCGGGAGGAACACCAGUGGCGAAGGCGG